AGACUUCGGUGGAUUUGAUCCAUUUCUAGUGGCGGACGGGUGAGUAACGCGUGGGUAACCUGCCUUAUACAGGGGGAUAACAGUCAGAAAUGACUGCUAAUACCGCAUAAGCGCACAGAGCUGCAUGGCUCAGUGUGAAAAACUCCGGUGGUAUAAGAUGGACCCGCGUUGGAUUAGCUAGUUGGUGAGGUAACGGCCCACCAAGGCGACGAUCAGUAGCCGGCCUGAGAGGGUGACCGGCCACAUUGGGACUGAGACAUGGCCCAAACUCC
Molecule: ribosomal RNA, 272 nt
Filed under: uncultured Blautia sp.
Lineage: Bacteria; Bacillati; Bacillota; Clostridia; Lachnospirales; Lachnospiraceae
Description: partial 16S ribosomal RNA
Rfam family: Bacterial small subunit ribosomal RNA
Source: RNAcentral